Molecule: ribosomal RNA, 367 nt
Filed under: uncultured bacterium
Lineage: Bacteria
Description: partial 16S ribosomal RNA
Rfam family: Bacterial small subunit ribosomal RNA
Source: RNAcentral
CCUACGGGUGGCUGCAGUGAGGAAUAUUGGUCAAUGGCCGGAAGGCUGAACCAGCCAUGCCGCGUGAAGGGCAGGGACCUAGGGGCGUUAAACUUCUUUUGGGCGGGAGCAAGAAUGGGCACGUGGGGCCAGACGAGAGUACCGUACGAAUAAGCAGCGGCGAACUCCGUGCCAGCAGCCGCGGUAAGACGGGGGAGGCAAGCGUUAUCCGGCUUUAGUGGGUUUAAAGGGUGCGUCUGCGGUGAGGUAAGUCAGCGGUGAAAUGCCCCCGCUCAACGGCGUGCAGGGCCAUUGAUACGGCCUUGCUGGACUGCGGCUGCCGUGGUAGGAAUGUGUGUUGUAGCGGUUACAUGCAUAGAUAUCACAC